GUCCACGCCCUAAACGAUGAUUACUCGAUCUCGGCGAUACACAGUCGGGGUCUAUGUGAAAGCAUUAAGUAAUCCACCUGGGGAGUACGAUCGCAAGAUUGAAACUCAAAGGAAUUGACGGGGUCCGCACAAGCGGUGGAGCAUGUGGUUCAAUUCGAUGGUACGCGAGGAACCUUACCUGGGCUAGAAUGCAAGGAGACCGAUCCUGAAAGGGGUCUUCCCCGCAAGGGGCUGCUUGUAAGGUGCUGCAUGGCUGUCGU
This 260-nucleotide ribosomal RNA is filed under the name uncultured bacterium. Its description in RNAcentral is "partial 16S ribosomal RNA". It matches the Rfam family "Bacterial small subunit ribosomal RNA", at positions 793 to 1055 of the family's 1533-position model. The record is from RNAcentral.